UACGAAGGGGGCUAGCGUUGUUCGGAUUAACUGGGCGUAAAGGGUGCGUAGGCGGAUUUUUAAGUCAGGGGUGAAAUCCCAAGGCUCAACCUUGGAACUGCCUUUGAUACUGGAAAUCUUGAGUCUGGGAGAGGUGAGUGGAACUGCGAGUGUAGAGGUGAAAUUCGUAGAUAUUCGCAAGAACACCGGUGGCGAAGGCGGCUCACUGGCCCGGUACUGACGCUGAGGCACGAAAGCGUGGGGAGCAAACAGG
This 253-nucleotide ribosomal RNA is filed under the name uncultured bacterium. RNAcentral describes it as "partial 16S ribosomal RNA". It matches the Rfam family "Bacterial small subunit ribosomal RNA", at positions 524 to 776 of the family's 1533-position model. The record is from RNAcentral.